AGACAAACAGGAAUAGGUUCGUGAAGUGUAAAAAAAUUUGAAAAAAAAUUCAAGUUGUAUUCGCAAGUUUCUCAUUGUAUUUUGAAGUAUCGAAAAAAAUUCAACAAAAAAUUCGAAAAAAAUGAAACUUCAAAAAAAAAGUGUUGGAAAUUUCCCGAUCCUCAAAGUUUGAUUUAUUUAAUCCCAUCUCUUCUACCCCAAC
This 202-nucleotide long non-coding RNA is filed under the name Gossypium raimondii (Peruvian cotton). RNAcentral's name for it is "long non-coding RNA (GRAI_LNC002138)". Lineage: Eukaryota; Viridiplantae; Streptophyta; Magnoliopsida; Malvales; Malvaceae. The record is from RNAcentral.